UGAAAGCAUCUAAGCGGGAAACUCGUUUCAAGAUUAGAUCUGCCGGGGCCUUGAGCCCCCUAAAGAGUCGUUCAAGACCAGGACGUUGAUAGGUCAGGUGUGGAAGCGCAGUAAUGCGUUAAGCUAACUGAUACUAAUUGCUCGUGCGACUUGACCCU
RNAcentral lists this ribosomal RNA (158 nucleotides) under Polaromonas sp. Its description in RNAcentral is "partial 23S ribosomal RNA". It matches the Rfam family "Bacterial large subunit ribosomal RNA", at positions 2772 to 2925 of the family's 2925-position model. The record is from RNAcentral. Lineage: Bacteria; Pseudomonadati; Pseudomonadota; Betaproteobacteria; Burkholderiales; Comamonadaceae.